Molecule: ribosomal RNA, 353 nt
Filed under: Olophrum mutatum
Lineage: Eukaryota; Metazoa; Arthropoda; Insecta; Coleoptera; Staphylinidae
Description: partial 12S ribosomal RNA
Source: RNAcentral
UUUAAAUGUAAAUAAAAAUUCUAAAUUAGUAUAAGUUAUAUUCUUUAAAGUUAAAGAUUUUGGCGGUAUUUUAGUCUUUUCAGAGGAACCUGUUCUAUAAUUGAUAGUCCACGAUUUAUUUUACUUAUUUUAAUUAAUUUGUAUAUCGUCGUAGUUUGAAUAUUUUAUAAGAAUUAAAAUAUUCUUAAAUUUUUAUAAAAAAAGAAAUCAGAUCAAGGUGCAGUUUAUAAAUAAGAAGUAAUGGGUUACAAUAAUUUUAUUUAUAUGGUAUAAUAUUUGAAUAAAUUUUAUUAAAGUGGAUUUGAAAGUAAUAUAUUUUAUUUUAAAUAUAUGAUUUAAGCUCUAAAAUAUGC